RNAcentral lists this non-coding RNA (30 nucleotides) under Mus musculus (house mouse). Lineage: Eukaryota; Metazoa; Chordata; Mammalia; Rodentia; Muridae. The record is from RNAcentral.
CAGAGUUGAAUGCAUCUCCAAAUCGGGAAU